CAGACAAGGUUUUGUACCUCUCACACCCAGUUGUUAAUUUCCUUUCCAAUUCUUUCUUCCAUAGAUCUCAUUUCUUUUCCAUUUUUUCACUGUAAAAACUCUCAUUCCAUUUAUAAAACCAUUUUUAACUCUUAAAAAAAAAAACAACCAAACUUUUUCUUUCAUCAGUUCCAUGAAUUCUAGUUGUUUGUAUCCAAGUUGUUUUCCUCCGAGAUAAUUCUUGUAGAUGUUUUGGGGUCUUUUUCUGGUUUAUUUCUUGAGUGUCCCUGUCACCAUAAAAGUUCAUUAUGCUGGAGUUCUUUUUUUUUAAUUAUUUGCUCAUUUUCUAAACUUACUUCCUAAUUUUAAACUUGAUGGUAGGGCUAAGCUCUGUGGCACUUCUGGAAGAAGGUCUAGGCUAGUCCUUUUGAUAAUUUUUGGGGGGAGUAUUGAACAUUAUACUAUUCCAAGAUCUUGAGACUUGAGAUACAGGUUGGGGACCUGCAAACUUUCAAAGUGGUCUGAUCCAAGGCAAAGUCUGAUUAUUGCUCCACGCUGGUCUGAGUUCUGCAAAUUUUUAACCUAGGUUUGGGUUUAUGCAAGAGUUAACUGCUAGGAGCAGCUAGGUGGCACUGUAGAUAGAGAGCCAGGCCUUGAGAACAGAAGUCUUGGGCUCAGAUCUGAACUCAUACUUCUUAGCUGUGUGACCUUGGGUAUAUCACUGGACCCCAGUUACCUAGCCCUUUACCAUCCUUCUGCCUUGGAAUUGAUACUGAGUAUUGAUUCUAAGUCAGAAGGUAAAGGUUAAAAAAAAAAAGAGCUGACCGCUACUGAACUCUGUGGUCAUUGACCAUCUGGAAAAGUCUUUUGGCUCAGAAUGGCAAAUUUGUAGGUUCCCCUUUAGUCUGAGAUUCUCCAGGUCUAUCUGUCUGGUCAGAUCCUGUGCAGACCUCCCCAUCUUCCUUUGUCAAAUGGAGACAGACAAAAGGCUUACUGUGACUUCUGGAUUUCACCCUACAGGCUGGUUCAUUUUCUAGAUCUGUUUCGAGCUACUGUAUCCUGGCAGUUGGUGGAAGCAGUCAUCAAGCAAUCCAGAAGAAGAAAGAGGAAGCAAAGCAGAGAACAGAGAACCGGAAAAAAAGGUACAGCUUGGAUAAAUCACUCAGCAUCCUCAAUUGUAAAACAAGGGUAUUAACUAAUAUAGCCAUCCAUCUCAAGAUCUAUGAUAUGAUUACGAUCAUUCCAAUUUAUAAAUGAGGGAACUAAGUCUAGGAGAGGGUAAAUAAUUUACACAGGGUUUCAUAUUAAACAUCGGAGGUAGGAUUUAAACUCAAGUUUUCAUGACUUCACAUCCAGUCUUUUAUAUGCUACUCCUACCUCUAAUAAUUGCUAAUGCCUAGGCUACACUUUACCAAGUGGCAUACAUCCUAAGAGAACUGUGUGCCAAUUAGUAAGUUAUCACCUCCUGGGGGAAUCUCUCUCCUUCAAGGAAUAAUCAUUGCUGCCACAAAGACUAUAGUGAACCAAGGGAUUAAACCCUUUG
Molecule: long non-coding RNA, 1522 nt
Filed under: Monodelphis domestica (gray short-tailed opossum)
Lineage: Eukaryota; Metazoa; Chordata; Mammalia; Didelphimorphia; Didelphidae
Description: lncRNA (ENSMODG00000033153.2)
Source: RNAcentral